UACAGAGGGUGCAAGCGUUAAUCGGACUUACUGGGCGUAAAGGGUGCGUAGGUGGUUUGUUAAGUUAGUUGUGAAAAUUCUGGGCUUAACCUAGGACUUGCAACUAAUACUGGCAGGCUAGAGUACAGUAGAGGGGAGUGGAAUUUCCGGUGUAGCGGUGAAAUGCGUAGAUAUCGGAAGGAACACCAGUGGCGAAGGCGGCUCCCUGGACAUGUACUGACACUGAGGCACGAAAGCGUGGGGAGCAAACAGG
RNAcentral lists this ribosomal RNA (253 nucleotides) under uncultured bacterium. Its description in RNAcentral is "partial 16S ribosomal RNA". It matches the Rfam family "Bacterial small subunit ribosomal RNA", at positions 524 to 776 of the family's 1533-position model. The record is from RNAcentral.